This 859-nucleotide ribosomal RNA is filed under the name Vibrio parahaemolyticus. RNAcentral's name for it is "bacterial SSU rRNA". It matches the Rfam family "Bacterial small subunit ribosomal RNA", at positions 396 to 1247 of the family's 1533-position model. Lineage: Bacteria; Pseudomonadati; Pseudomonadota; Gammaproteobacteria; Vibrionales; Vibrionaceae. The record is from RNAcentral.
GCCGCGUGUGUGAAGAAGGCCUUCGGGUUGUAAAGCACUUUCAGUCGUGAGGAAGGUGGUAGUGUUAAUAGCACUAUCAUUUGACGUUAGCGACAGAAGAAGCACCGGCUAACUCCGUGCCAGCAGCCGCGGUAAUACGGAGGGUGCGAGCGUUAAUCGGAAUUACUGGGCGUAAAGCGCAUGCAGGUGGUUUGUUAAGUCAGAUGUGAAAGCCCGGGGCUCAACCUCGGAAUUGCAUUUGAAACUGGCAGACUAGAGUACUGUAGAGGGGGGUAGAAUUUCAGGUGUAGCGGUGAAAUGCGUAGAGAUCUGAAGGAAUACCGGUGGCGAAGGCGGCCCCCUGGACAGAUACUGACACUCAGAUGCGAAAGCGUGGGGAGCAAACAGGAUUAGAUACCCUGGUAGUCCACGCCGUAAACGAUGUCUACUUGGAGGUUGUGGCCUUGAGCCGUGGCUUUCGGAGCUAACGCGUUAAGUAGACCGCCUGGGGAGUACGGUCGCAAGAUUAAAACUCAAAUGAAUUGACGGGGGCCCGCACAAGCGGUGGAGCAUGUGGUUUAAUUCGAUGCAACGCGAAGAACCUUACCUACUCUUGACAUCCAGAGAACUUUCCAGAGAUGGAUUGGUGCCUUCGGGAACUCUGAGACAGGUGCUGCAUGGCUGUCGUCAGCUCGUGUUGUGAAAUGUUGGGUUAAGUCCCGCAACGAGCGCAACCCUUAUCCUUGUUUGCCAGCGAGUAAUGUCGGGAACUCCAGGGAGACUGCCGGUGAUAAACCGGAGGAAGGUGGGGACGACGUCAAGUCAUCAUGGCCCUUACGAGUAGGGCUACACACGUGCUACAAUGGCGCAUACAGAGGGC